RNAcentral lists this transfer RNA (76 nucleotides) under Sulfurifustis variabilis. Its description in RNAcentral is "tRNA-Thr". It matches the Rfam family "tRNA". Rfam says of the family: Transfer RNA (tRNA) molecules are approximately 80 nucleotides in length. Their secondary structure includes four short double-helical elements and three loops (D, anti-codon, and T loops). RNAcentral also lists the same sequence under 2 other names. Lineage: Bacteria; Pseudomonadati; Pseudomonadota; Gammaproteobacteria; Acidiferrobacterales; Acidiferrobacteraceae. The record is from RNAcentral.
GCCGGUGUAGCUCAGUUGGUAGAGCAACUGAUUCGUAAUCAGUAGGUCCGCGGUUCGAGUCCGCGCACCGGCACCA